UCUUACCCAAACGCUGUAACUUAAUUCAAUCUUCUCCCCAGAAGAUGAUUCCUCUACUGCUUCCUGGCUCUGGCUUCAGAAAUCUGUAUGAAAAUCUGUGUAGUCUACACAGAAAUCAUGAAGUCAUUGAUGCUGCCUCUUCAAUUUUCGCUUCAUCAUUCACUCAUCCCCUGCUAGAUCUCAAAAUCCGCUAUUUGUAUAAAAAUCUUCGCAGGCUACACAGGUGACUUGACAAGAAAAUGAUAUUUUGAGCCAAAUGCUGAGCUAUUUGAUCAAGUUUUGAAGCCAUCAUAGCGCAGGGAUAUUUUUGUGAGGUAAAAUGAAGCAAAGGAGAUUGAUACAACACUCCUUUAUGUGCUAAAUAUUGGUGCUUUACUGGUCUUGAUGAUAUAUGCAAUUCAAUGCAAAGCAAAAGAAAGCAAGGUUGCAUUUCUCACCCAAAUUGACAUCUUCUUAGUAUUUGAAUCAUUACUUAAUGUAGGAAGAUCAAAUUGGAGUGAUUCCAGAUCUACAAUUUCUGUGAAGACUAUAAAGGCUAAUUCAGAUAUUUCAUGGGUGAAAAAUAGUUUAGAAGACAAAAUAGCUGCAUGAAACAGAGGGUUGUAUUCUGCCUAGUAGGCACGGCUCUGUGCAUUCUGUGCCUGUUAAUUCCUGGCCAUGGGCUUGCCUCAAUUUAAUCACUUUUUUUUAACCUAAUUUUGAGAGGAACUCUUCACCCUUUUA
Molecule: long non-coding RNA, 723 nt
Organism: Ipomoea triloba (trilobed morning glory)
Lineage: Eukaryota; Viridiplantae; Streptophyta; Magnoliopsida; Solanales; Convolvulaceae
Exons: 3
Source: RefSeq, a predicted model, not a curated record